Molecule: RNA transcript, 6168 nt
Organism: Apis mellifera (honey bee)
Lineage: Eukaryota; Metazoa; Arthropoda; Insecta; Hymenoptera; Apidae
Gene: dsh
Gene name: segment polarity protein dishevelled homolog DVL-3
Exons: 11
Source: RefSeq, a predicted model, not a curated record
CGCCAUCUUUGACAAUGGUGCAGCAAUGCCAUCUGACGAUAGAGGUAGUGAAUAGCUGAAAGGGUGUAAAAAUGAGACCCAAGAUUGUCUUUCUAUCUUCGUUCGUUUCCAAUCUUCGAGCGUACUGUCGAGUGUCGAGCCGACUGUCGCGAGUGUGUGUAAUGUCGACAAGAAUGUUGACGUUUAAUUCAGCUCGUCGGAAGCAACGAAUACGCGUCGUGAUAGCCUCGUGAAUAAUGUCAAUGGAUUCCUCGUAACUUAUUGCACGCAGACGUAAUAAUGUUACGCACUGUGGGGUUCACAUAAACUCGUAGACUUCAUGAACGAACAAUCGUCGUACGCGCGAGGGCUUUGGCUCGAACUGUGACGCGCCAUAUUGGUUUAAGAGAAUUGUUCAUAUUAGUGAGCUUUGGGUGAAUCAAUUUUAUUGCAAAUGCACAUAGUAUAAUAAAGUUCCAACAAUGGAAGAGACUAAAAUCAUAUAUCAUAUUGACGACGAAGAAACUCCUUACUUAGUAAAGCUUACCAUCUCGCCGGAAAGGGUCACUCUUGCCGACUUCAAAAAUGUCUUGAAUCGACCGAAUUAUAAGUAUUUCUUCAAAUCUAUGGACGAUGAUUUUGGUGUGGUGAAAGAAGAGAUUGUAGAUGAUGAUGCCCAUCUUCCCUGUUUUAAUGGACGAGUUGUUUCUUGGUUGGUUUCUGCUGAAGGCAGUAAUGUGUCAGAUGGUGCUUCACAAUGCACAGAUUCAGUAGCACAUAGUGAGGCAAAACAUGAUCGUGUUGAUCAUGUGACACCUGGUCACACAAAUCGUGGUCCACCUCCUUUGUCACAUGAUGACACUUUAACUGAAACUGAAAGUAUUACAAGUAGUCGACAAGGGCAUCAUUUACAUAAAAGUUCAAGACAUCAUUCAGAUAAAUAUGAGAAAUAUAAUAAAUAUAAUGGACUUCGUAUAAAUGGUCAUUCAAAGCACAGAUCAGGCCAUGGUUAUGAGACUGCUUCUAUUUUAAGUUCAGAUUUAGAGACAACAACAUUUUUAGAAUCAGAUGAUGAUGCCAGUAGCCGUAUAACAUCAACUACAGGCAGACAUACCAAUAUGAGUAGUACAGUUGACAGAGCAACUUUAGAGCGGCGUAGACCACAGAGAAGAAGGCGUCAUAGAUUGCCACCUAUGUCUAGAACAUCAUCUUUUAGCAGUAUCACAGACAGUACAAUGUCCUUAAACAUCAUAACAGUUUCAUUGAAUAUGGAUACUGUUAAUUUCCUUGGGAUUAGUAUUGUUGGACAAAGUAACAAAGGUGGAGAUGGUGGCAUUUAUGUAGGUUCAAUAAUGAAAGGGGGUGCAGUUGCUUUAGAUGGACGAAUAGAACCUGGUGACAUGAUCCUUCAAGUAAAUGAUAUUAAUUUUGAAAAUAUGUCUAAUGAUGAAGCAGUUAAAGUACUACGUGAAGUAGUUCAGAAACCAGGACCAAUCAAAUUAGUUGUUGCAAAGUGCUGGGAUCCUAAUCCUAAAGGCUAUUUUACAAUACCACGUACAGAACCUGUACGGCCUAUAGAUCCUGGUGCUUGGGUAGCACAUACAGCUGCUAUAAGGGGAGAAGGUUUUCCUCCGCGCCCGCCAAGUGCUACAACAUUAACAUCAACAUCAAGCAGUCUUGCAAGUACACUGCCAGAUACAGAACGACCAUUAGAAGAACUUCAUCUUACGGUGAAUACAGAUAUGCCAACAAUAGUGCGAGCGAUGGCUCGACCUGAUUCAGGAUUGGAAAUUCGUGAUCGUAUGUGGCUUAAAAUAAUAAUACCAAAUGCAUUUAUUGGAGCAGAUGUUGUGGAUUGGCUUAAUACUCACGUAGAAGGAUUUAUUGAUCGACGCGAUGCAAGAAAAUACGCAUCUCUUAUGUUAAAAGCUGGUUUUAUUAGGCAUACAGUAAAUAAGAUAACAUUUUCCGAGCAAUGUUACUAUAUAUUUGGUGAUUUGUGUUCAGCUAUGAGUAGCAUGAAACUAGAUUGCGAUACAGUCGGACCAUUACCUCCGCCGAAUGCCUGGGACAUGCCUUAUUCAGGAACAUAUGCACCUCAUUCUGCAACUGGUUAUAGUCCAAUGCCAUUUAAUUUCACUAAUGAACCAACUGUAUAUGGUUAUCACCGAGAAGAAAGUGUUCAUAGUGGAUCAGGAGGCAGUAGUGCAGGUAGUGAACACAUUUGCAAAGAACCUAUUCACGAUUUGAAAUCCUGUUCUUCAGCAUCUGAAUCUGAAUUACAUAUUCCAUCAGUGCCAACUAUGCCAAAUAAAAAUUCUGGCAAUGGAAAUGGUUCAAAUGGAAAGAGAUCUAAUGGUAGUCGCAGUCGUUCCAGUGGUUCUGAACAAUCUGUGCAGACAGGAACUGGUUCAGGGAAUCAACAGAACCAACAAGACUUAUCUGGAUUGUCUACGACAAUGGGGCAGCUAUUUCUUUAAAAUCGAGAGGAUAUUGUUUCGAAAUGUUAAAAGAUUCACUAAUUAUUACUUGUCAAAUUCAUUUUUUUUAAGAAUAAUUUGCUUUAAAAGAAAGGAAAACAAAAGAAAAUACAUAUAUAUGUACAAAGAAUAUAUGCAAUACAAAUACUAUUGUAUAUUGAGUAAUUAUUAGUGAAUCGUUUAAAAAAACAUUGUCCAUGCGUAAAGGACAAAUUUUUAUUGUAUUCCUACUAAUUCAAGUUAUUUGAUGAUGACAAAAAAAAUUGUUCACAAUUAUGUUAUGUGGUAUUGCAUCACAGGUUCGACAAUAUGUAAAUAGAUCGAAUUAUGCUCAUAUUAAAUGUGCCAUCUUAUCAGUGUUAGAAAAUACUGAAGAAACUGCGACUUAUAAUUUAUAUAUACAAGCUUCCCAGGUGUAUGCAUUUCUUUAUUGUUUAUGUUCAUUGAUGUCAUUUUAUCUUACGAAUUAUUACAAAUUAUUAUAAAUUAUCUUCUGCAUCUCACACACACACAAGCUUAUUUAAUUUCAACAAACAUUUGUUACAUUUAAUUGCGUCUUGCCGUUGCGUUAUUAUUAUAUAAAUUUUUAUUUAGUAUAUCACGUUGUAUCGAAAUAAUAUUCUUUUUAUAAAAUGCCGCUAGAAAAUAUUUGCAUUCGAUGCACAUCAAUUGGCGUUAUAAUUAUUAUAAGAAUAAUUUCAAAUAUGGUGCAAUGUUUCUUUUGAACAUUUCAACAUUGAGAAAAAAAGAAAAAGAGCAGUUUAACAAUUUUUAUUAUUUUUUUUUGUAUCGAUUUUACUACUUUUUAUAUUUAUAUGAACUAUUUACUAUUACUUUCUUAAUAUUUAUAAAACAUAUAGAACAUAUGUUAUAUUAUUGAUAUUUUUUAUAACAUGAACCAUGUUUGAAAAUUUAGUCGAUUAAUCAUCCGUGCAAUUUUCCAAAAAUAAUAAUUAAAAUUCUUUUGCUUUACUUUUUCUUCGGCAUCUUAUAAUUAUCCAUAAAUAGAUUCACUUUUUAUAUAUGUAUCUGUCUCUAGAGAAUAAUAUAACGGUAUUAUAUAUCGCAAAAAAUUUUUUACCAGUUUGAUAAAGCACAUAAUACAUUGUAUAGCAAAGAUUUUAUUGGAAAAUUGCGCACUGGCAUUUAAUCAUUAAUUUCAAUGAACGUUUUCAUUUUGCUGCAAAUAAUUAUGUAAUUCAAUAUUUAAGAAGGUAGUUUACAAAAAACUGGUUUACCGAUAUCAUUACGGUAUCAAUUAUUAUAUAUUAUUCUGUAAAAUAUAUACAUAUUUUAUGUUGCAGACAGGUUGUACAGUAUGUUUGAGAAAUGCAAAAUUAUUAUUUACAAGAUGACGUAAUUUCAUCAUGACCAUCGCCUGAUUUUUAGAAAGAUGAUAAGAAAUGCAAAUUAAAAAAAAAAAGUGAAAAUAUAAAUUUUGCGAUUCACAGACAUACUUUUAACUUGGUUUAUUUUAUUUUUUAUUUAUUGUGCCGCUCUAAAAGGACGUGCUGCUUUCUGUCUAACAAAUGACUCAAUUUCCUUUGCAACUUACGUUGUGCGCAUGUGGAUUACACCGUGUCAAAGACGUAAUCGAGUCAUUUUUGUGCCUUGUGCUGCGCUGGCGAUUGAUGCAGAGCGGCGUAUGCACGAGGAAACUCGUACACAGACUAGCGAUUUGGACAACAAUAGCAGAGACAAUAUCUAUGAAGAAGACAUUUUGGAGUACCAGUUUCUGCACAAGUGAAGAUACUUGUUAAUGCAAUAUGUAUACGUAACAAUGGUAAUAGGAGUUAAAAAAAAAAAAGGAAAUUAAGAUAUAUUUCCACUUGAAUUAAGUGGAUGGAAGUAGCAAACGCGAGACACAUAUAUAUAUAUAUAUAUAUUUAUAUAUAUAUUUAAUAGACGAAUUUUGAUAAAGCGUCAUAGAAAAUAAAAAAAUCUAAACUAUCAUAUAAUUUGUAAUGGCUAUACAUAAAAGAAGAAGAUAGAUUUAAGGCCAUCGAAUUUCCAUUGGUAUUUAAUAUCAUUCAAGAAUAUGUAUAAUGCAAUCUAUGUAGAAUAUUAAUAUAUUCAUGAGAUUUCAGAAAGUCAAUUCUAAAGAAAAAAGAUACUAUAAUUGAUAUACAAAAUUGUCGGUUGAGGUUCAUUUAUUAACUUAUAACUUAAAGUUUGGAUUAGAUAGAAUGAAAUUUACCUACAUUUCGCUUCAUCUAAUAAAAACUUCAACUUUUUAAUAAAUAAAUCUCAACGAACAUUUUUGUUUUAGUUUCUAGAAUCGACCAAUCAAAAGUAUCUCAUAAGUAUAUUAAUAUCCUGGAUAAGAAAAAGAAAAUACGAUGGCGAAAAAGCGUGCUUUUUUAACGCAGGGUGCAUGUAGAUUGAAAAAAAGAAUCCUUCUUAACUCCAUAUAUGUGUUUUAUCGAUAAUAUUCUUGUCCUACUUUUUCUUCCUUAACUUAAAGUAAUCAUGACUAUAUUCUCUAUAUUCUCUUAUAUUUGACAUGUAUUUUUUUACUUUAUUUGUUAAUGCAAAAAAAUAAUAGACUUUUUGAAUUGAUAAUUUUUACUUACAGUAUUGAAAUUUUUCGUUUUUUAUAUAUUUUAGAUUUUUCCUUCUUGAAUAUAUUCAUUCUCAUGUCAUAAUAUGGCUGUACUUUUAAUUAUACGGGUAUAUAAACAUCAAAUUUAUGAAAUGCAAAAUGAAGAUUUUGCAUAUAUUGAUUAAAUAAAAAAGAGAAAGGAAAUGAGGUGAAGGAGCAAAAAGUGUCAGUAAUAAAAGAUGAUAUUCGCAAAAUUCCUGAUUUAUUAGUACAACUUAUAACUGCAAGUAUGUCUGUAAUCAAGUGUUAAUUCAUGCUAUGAAAAUUAAUUAGUAUGAAGCAUAUUAUACAAAUGUUGCAAGUAUUAUUGUUUUUACUUGAAUUUUACGCUUAAAUGAAGGAAAAAAGAAAAUUUUAAAUUUUUGUAAUUAUAAAUAAUACAGAAUACUUUAUAUAAAAAUAUUAUAUUCGAGUUUUCGCGUUAAUUCUCAAAUAAAUAAAUUACAGAAUAUACAAAAUAUAAUUAACAAUAUUUUUUCACGUUAUUCUUCUAAUUUAACACUAUGCUUUGUUGAAUUUGCUUUAUACUAAAUAAUUGAGACACAUUAUAUAUGUAUGAUUUUAUUUUUCCAUACUACUUUAAUCAAUUUUACUCGUUAAGGGAAGGCAAUACGUAAAUAAAUUGUAAAGAUAGGAUUGUAUAAUUGGUGAAACACCUUUUUCUCCUUUUUUGUGUGCAAGUUUAUACGAAUAAGUGUGAUAAUAUUGCAUUAUCGUGUGCAACCACGAGUCUUCUCCCUCACUAUUUAAAAAUUUAAAGGAAGAAAAAAAAAGAAGUAAACCUCGACGAGUCAAUAUGAAUCGAAUAAAAGUUUACUCAUUGAGAUGCAUUCGAAUGCUAUUCUGACUGAAGUAUUUUAAUGUCACUUAGAGUACCAUAGUACAAGGCGACAAGAUAGUCAAUCGAUAUCGCAUUUACAGACAAGAUAGUUCAUUCCUUGUAUUUUUUAUCCCUUUGCGAGACAAAUGUUUGCGGACUUUUUUAUUAAAGCUAUGACCACGUACAUGUAUCGUGUCGUCGAUACCCUAUUUGCGAUGUUCAACGAUUUUUACACUAUUUAUUAUAAUUAUGUGAGAUUAAGAAAUUUGUAACAAAAAAAAAAAAAA